UUUUAAUAUGUAGGAUAUAGCAAGAGCUUUUUUUCUCUUAUGAUUAAUAUGUUGCUUAAACUAGUUGAAGCAGUGGAUAGUCCAGAUGUAUUUUUCCAGUCAUGAUAAGAGAGUUAUAUCCACAUGAGGGAGCUGGCCAAUACAUAUGGUCCAGGUCUUGCUGUGAAAAGAUGAUGAUGAUUAGAUCCAUACUGAGCAUUGUCUGUACACUGAGAUAUUCUAGGCACUCUACCAAAAAUGAAAUACCAUCUCUGAUUAGUUGCAGUGUGUGAGUAAAAAUGAAAUACAAUCUCUGAUUAGCUGGGCCAAUUUACGUGAGUAUAAAAAUGAAGCUAUGUGAAUAUGAAGGAUAUCAAUAAUAAUUCCAGUUCAAGAUGAGCAACUGUCUGUUGGACAAUUGCAUCAGAAGCAUUGUAUAUGUGUAAGUUGAGCACCUGAUAGAGUUGAGUGAUAUCCUAUCAGCGACUGAAAAUAGUGGUGGUCUUUCGCUGAAGACAAGGCUAAUGCAUAGGCCUAUCUAAUGACUGCUAUACACAGCCAUCUAGAGUUAGAUGUUGAGAUUAUCUAUUGGUGUCCUCAUUGAUGAAAUCCCCAUAUGCCCAGUUUCCAAACAAAGACCAAGAGUGACUUAUGUCAGAGAUCAAUGAGGAAAUCUGUAGUUUUGAUGAUGGAGAAGUCAUCACUUUCUACAUAGCAUGUAACAUAGACAGACUAUCAGAGGAGAUGGUAACCAUAGAUCUGGCUGCAUUUGUUAGCUAUAGGGCUACUUAAGAGUCCAGCUGCCUCUGCUGCAAACACAGAACAGUCUUGAUGAAUGGAAAAAAUUUUUGAAAAUGCCCAGGAAGGGAUCGUGAUCUCUAUAGAUCACCUGAAUCUUCAAUGUAUUGAUCCUUACCAACAAAGAUGAGGGCCAGUGAUGCUGACAGUGCCAAAAACAAGUUUGGGUUGCAAAGAGGAAGAUGUGGCUGUAGGGAGAAGGUUACAAUGACUACUAUAAAUAUUUUGUAUCUAGAAAAUGAAAAACCUUAUUUAAAAUUGAAGAAGUUUAUAGUAGCAGACCAGUUUUGCAGAAUUGAAAUGGAAAUGUUAUUAAAUGCCUUGGAUCAAACAAUUUCUAAACCCUUAAUAGAAGAGUAAUGAGUUAGUUGAGAUAGCAGAUGCAAUAACACUAGCAUCCUCUUAAAUUGGUUUGUAUAUGGGGUGUUCAAAUGAAACCCAUUCGAAAUGUGCCACAUGAUGAAUUG
This 1244-nucleotide long non-coding RNA is filed under the name Androctonus crassicauda. Lineage: Eukaryota; Metazoa; Arthropoda; Arachnida; Scorpiones; Buthidae. The record is from RNAcentral.